Molecule: ribosomal RNA, 2903 nt
Filed under: Escherichia coli
Lineage: Bacteria; Pseudomonadati; Pseudomonadota; Gammaproteobacteria; Enterobacterales; Enterobacteriaceae
Description: 23S ribosomal RNA
Rfam family: Bacterial large subunit ribosomal RNA
Source: RNAcentral
GGUUAAGCGACUAAGCGUACACGGUGGAUGCCCUGGCAGUCAGAGGCGAUGAAGGACGUGCUAAUCUGCGAUAAGCGUCGGUAAGGUGAUAUGAACCGUUAUAACCGGCGAUUUCCGAAUGGGGAAACCCAGUGUGAUUCGUCACACUAUCAUUAACUGAAUUCAUAGGUUAAUGAGGCGAACCGGGGGAACUGAAACAUCUAAGUACCCCGAGGAAAAGAAAUCAACCGAGAUUCCCCCAGUAGCGGCGAGCGAACGGGGAGCAGCCCAGAGCCUGAAUCAGUGUGUGUGUUAGUGGAAGCGUCUGGAAAGGCGUGCGAUACAGGGUGACAGCCCCGUACACAAAAAUGCACAUACUGUGAGCUCGAUGAGUAGGGCGGGACACGUGGUAUCCUGUCUGAAUAUGGGGGGACCAUCCUCCAAGGCUAAAUACUCCUGACUGACCGAUAGUGAACCAGUACCGUGAGGGAAAGGCGAAAAGAACCCCGGCGAGGGGAGUGAAAAAGAACCUGAAACCGUGUACGUACAAGCAGUGGGAGCACGCUUAGGCGUGUGACUGCGUACCUUUUGUAUAAUGGGUCAGCGACUUAUAUUCUGUAGCAAGGUUAACCGAAUAGGGGAGCCGAAGGGAAACCGAGUCUUAACUGGGCGUUAAGUUGCAGGGUAUAGACCCGAAACCCGGUGAUCUAGCUAUGGGCAGGUUGAAGGUUGGGUAACACUAACUGGAGGACCGAACCGACUAAUGUUGAAAAAUUAGCGGAUGACUUGUGGCUGGGGGUGAAAGGCCAAUCAAACCGGGAGAUAGCUGGUUCUCCCCGAAAGCUAUUUAGGUAGCGCCUCGUGAAUUCAUCUCCGGGGGUAGAGCACUGUUUCGGCAAGGGGGUCAUCCCGACUUACCAACCCGAUGCAAACUGCGAAUACCGGAGAAUGUUAUCACGGGAGACACACGGCGGGUGCUAACGUCCGUCGUGAAGAGGGAAACAACCCAGACCGCCAGCUAAGGUCCCAAAGUCAUGGUUAAGUGGGAAACGAUGUGGGAAGGCCCAGACAGCCAGGAUGUUGGCUUAGAAGCAGCCAUCAUUUAAAGAAAGCGUAAUAGCUCACUGGUCGAGUCGGCCUGCGCGGAAGAUGUAACGGGGCUAAACCAUGCACCGAAGCUGCGGCAGCGACACUAUGUGUUGUUGGGUAGGGGAGCGUUCUGUAAGCCUGUGAAGGUGUACUGUGAGGUAUGCUGGAGGUAUCAGAAGUGCGAAUGCUGACAUAAGUAACGAUAAAGCGGGUGAAAAGCCCGCUCGCCGGAAGACCAAGGGUUCCUGUCCAACGUUAAUCGGGGCAGGGUGAGUCGACCCCUAAGGCGAGGCCGAAAGGCGUAGUCGAUGGGAAACAGGUUAAUAUUCCUGUACUUGGUGUUACUGCGAAGGGGGGACGGAGAAGGCUAUGUUGGCCGGGCGACGGUUGUCCCGGUUUAAGCGUGUAGGCUGGUUUUCCAGGCAAAUCCGGAAAAUCAAGGCUGAGGCGUGAUGACGAGGCACUACGGUGCUGAAGCAACAAAUGCCCUGCUUCCAGGAAAAGCCUCUAAGCAUCAGGUAACAUCAAAUCGUACCCCAAACCGACACAGGUGGUCAGGUAGAGAAUACCAAGGCGCUUGAGAGAACUCGGGUGAAGGAACUAGGCAAAAUGGUGCCGUAACUUCGGGAGAAGGCACGCUGAUAUGUAGGUGAAGUCCCUCGCGGAUGGAGCUGAAAUCAGUCGAAGAUACCAGCUGGCUGCAACUGUUUAUUAAAAACACAGCACUGUGCAAACACGAAAGUGGACGUAUACGGUGUGACGCCUGCCCGGUGCCGGAAGGUUAAUUGAUGGGGUCAGCGCAAGCGAAGCUCUUGAUCGAAGCCCCGGUAAACGGCGGCCGUAACUAUAACGGUCCUAAGGUAGCGAAAUUCCUUGUCGGGUAAGUUCCGACCUGCACGAAUGGCGUAAUGAUGGCCAGGCUGUCUCCACCCGAGACUCAGUGAAAUUGAACUCGCUGUGAAGAUGCAGUGUACCCGCGGCAAGACGGAAAGACCCCGUGAACCUUUACUAUAGCUUGACACUGAACAUUGAGCCUUGAUGUGUAGGAUAGGUGGGAGGCUUUGAAGUGUGGACGCCAGUCUGCAUGGAGCCGACCUUGAAAUACCACCCUUUAAUGUUUGAUGUUCUAACGUUGACCCGUAAUCCGGGUUGCGGACAGUGUCUGGUGGGUAGUUUGACUGGGGCGGUCUCCUCCUAAAGAGUAACGGAGGAGCACGAAGGUUGGCUAAUCCUGGUCGGACAUCAGGAGGUUAGUGCAAUGGCAUAAGCCAGCUUGACUGCGAGCGUGACGGCGCGAGCAGGUGCGAAAGCAGGUCAUAGUGAUCCGGUGGUUCUGAAUGGAAGGGCCAUCGCUCAACGGAUAAAAGGUACUCCGGGGAUAACAGGCUGAUACCGCCCAAGAGUUCAUAUCGACGGCGGUGUUUGGCACCUCGAUGUCGGCUCAUCACAUCCUGGGGCUGAAGUAGGUCCCAAGGGUAUGGCUGUUCGCCAUUUAAAGUGGUACGCGAGCUGGGUUUAGAACGUCGUGAGACAGUUCGGUCCCUAUCUGCCGUGGGCGCUGGAGAACUGAGGGGGGCUGCUCCUAGUACGAGAGGACCGGAGUGGACGCAUCACUGGUGUUCGGGUUGUCAUGCCAAUGGCACUGCCCGGUAGCUAAAUGCGGAAGAGAUAAGUGCUGAAAGCAUCUAAGCACGAAACUUGCCCCGAGAUGAGUUCUCCCUGACUCCUUGAGAGUCCUGAAGGAACGUUGAAGACGACGACGUUGAUAGGCCGGGUGUGUAAGCGCAGCGAUGCGUUGAGCUAACCGGUACUAAUGAACCGUGAGGCUUAACCUU